UUAAGCGACUAAGCGUACACGGUGGAUGCCCUGGCAGUCAGAGGCGAUGAAGGACGUGCUAAUCUGCGAUAAGCGUCGGUAAGGUGAUAUGAACCGUUAUAACCGGCGAUUUCCGAAUGGGGAAACCCAGUGUGAUUCGUCACACUAUCAUUAACUGAAUCCAUAGGUUAAUGAGGCGAACCGGGGGAACUGAAACAUCUAAGUACCCCGAGGAAAAGAAAUCAACCGAGAUUCCCCCAGUAGCGGCGAGCGAACGGGGAGCAGCCCAGAGCCUGAAUCAGUGUGUGUGUUAGUGGAAGCGUCUGGAAAGGCGCGCGAUACAGGGUGACAGCCCCGUACACAAAAAUGCACAUACUGUGAGCUCGAUGAGUAGGGCGGGACACGUGGUAUCCUGUCUGAAUAUGGGGGGACCAUCCUCCAAGGCUAAAUACUCCUGACUGACCGAUAGUGAACCAGUACCGUGAGGGAAAGGCGAAAAGAACCCCGGCGAGGGGAGUGAAAAAGAACCUGAAACCGUGUACGUACAAGCAGUGGGAGCCUCUUAAUGGGGUGACUGCGUACCUUUUGUAUAAUGGGUCAGCGACUUAUAUUCUGUAGCAAGGUUAACCGAAUAGGGGAGCCGAAGGGAAACCGAGUCUUAACUGGGCGUUAAGUUGCAGGGUAUAGACCCGAAACCCGGUGAUCUAGCCAUGGGCAGGUUGAAGGUUGGGUAACACUAACUGGAGGACCGAACCGACUAAUGUUGAAAAAUUAGCGGAUGACUUGUGGCUGGGGGUGAAAGGCCAAUCAAACCGGGAGAUAGCUGGUUCUCCCCGAAAGCUAUUUAGGUAGCGCCUCGUGAAUUCAUCUCCGGGGGUAGAGCACUGUUUCGGCAAGGGGGUCAUCCCGACUUACCAACCCGAUGCAAACUGCGAAUACCGGAGAAUGUUAUCACGGGAGACACACGGCGGGUGCUAACGUCCGUCGUGAAGAGGGAAACAACCCAGACCGCCAGCUAAGGUCCCAAAGUCAUGGUUAAGUGGGAAACGAUGUGGGAAGGCCCAGACAGCCAGGAUGUUGGCUUAGAAGCAGCCAUCAUUUAAAGAAAGCGUAAUAGCUCACUGGUCGAGUCGGCCUGCGCGGAAGAUGUAACGGGGCUAAACCAUGCACCGAAGCUGCGGCAGCGACGCUUAUGCGUUGUUGGGUAGGGGAGCGUUCUGUAAGCCUGCGAAGGUGUGCUGUGAGGCAUGCUGGAGGUAUCAGAAGUGCGAAUGCUGACAUAAGUAACGAUAAAGCGGGUGAAAAGCCCGCUCGCCGGAAGACCAAGGGUUCCUGUCCAACGUUAAUCGGGGCAGGGUGAGUCGACCCCUAAGGCGAGGCCGAAAGGCGUAGUCGAUGGGAAACAGGUUAAUAUUCCUGUACUUGGUGUUACUGCGAAGGGGGGACGGAGAAGGCUAUGUUGGCCGGGCGACGGUUGUCCCGGUUUAAGCGUGUAGGCUGGUUUUCCAGGCAAAUCCGGAAAAUCAAGGCUGAGGCGUGAUGACGAGGCACUACGGUGCUGAAGCAACAAAUGCCCUGCUUCCAGGAAAAGCCUCUAAGCAUCAGGUAACAUCAAAUCGUACCCCAAACCGACACAGGUGGUCAGGUAGAGAAUACCAAGGCGCUUGAGAGAACUCGGGUGAAGGAACUAGGCAAAAUGGUGCCGUAACUUCGGGAGAAGGCACGCUGAUAUGUAGGUGAAGUCCCUUGCGGAUGGAGCUGAAAUCAGUCGAAGAUACCAGCUGGCUGCAACUGUUUAUUAAAAACACAGCACUGUGCAAACACGAAAGUGGACGUAUACGGUGUGACGCCUGCCCGGUGCCGGAAGGUUAAUUGAUGGGGUUAGCGGUAACGCGAAGCUCUUGAUCGAAGCCCCGGUAAACGGCGGCCGUAACUAUAACGGUCCUAAGGUAGCGAAAUUCCUUGUCGGGUAAGUUCCGACCUG
Molecule: ribosomal RNA, 1963 nt
Filed under: Escherichia coli HVH 110 (4-6978754)
Lineage: Bacteria; Pseudomonadati; Pseudomonadota; Gammaproteobacteria; Enterobacterales; Enterobacteriaceae
Description: bacterial LSU rRNA
Rfam family: Bacterial large subunit ribosomal RNA
Source: RNAcentral